This 500-nucleotide ribosomal RNA is filed under the name Streptomyces sp. RNAcentral's name for it is "bacterial SSU rRNA". It matches the Rfam family "Bacterial small subunit ribosomal RNA", at positions 56 to 573 of the family's 1533-position model. The record is from RNAcentral. Lineage: Bacteria; Bacillati; Actinomycetota; Actinomycetes; Kitasatosporales; Streptomycetaceae.
UGCAGUCGAACGAUGAACCACUUCGGUGGGGAUUAGUGGCGAACGGGUGAGUAACACGUGGGCAAUCUGCCCUGCACUCUGGGACAAGCCCUGGAAACGGGGUCUAAUACCGGAUACUGACCCUCGCAGGCAUCUGCGAGGUUCGAAAGCUCCGGCGGUGCAGGAUGAGCCCGCGGCCUAUCAGCUUGUUGGUGAGGUAAUGGCUCACCAAGGCGACGACGGGUAGCCGGCCUGAGAGGGCGACCGGCCACACUGGGACUGAGACACGGCCCAGACUCCUACGGGAGGCAGCAGUGGGGAAUAUUGCACAAUGGGCGAAAGCCUGAUGCAGCGACGCCGCGUGAGGGAUGACGGCCUUCGGGUUGUAAACCUCUUUCAGCAGGGAAGAAGCGAAAGUGACGGUACCUGCAGAAGAAGCGCCGGCUAACUACGUGCCAGCAGCCGCGGUAAUACGUAGGGCGCAAGCGUUGUCCGGAAUUAUUGGGCGUAAAGAGCUCGUA